This 440-nucleotide long non-coding RNA is filed under the name Gossypium barbadense (sea-island cotton). RNAcentral describes it as "long non-coding RNA (GBAR_LNC004972)". Lineage: Eukaryota; Viridiplantae; Streptophyta; Magnoliopsida; Malvales; Malvaceae. The record is from RNAcentral.
AGGGAUCAGAACCACCAUGAAUUCCACUUAAGAAAAACAAGCUUUGAAGCACUUAGCUUCUAUGGCCUGAUCUCAUCAUGCACUUUUAUCAAUUAUAUUUCCCAUGCAUAGUCUACUUCUUUUUAAUAACCUUCUAAAGGAAGUAAGUGAAAGAGAUUAUUUAUCAUUUGUGUAAGUUUAUUGUCUCUGUUGUUUUGCAUAAACAUUGUAAUCAUGGAAGUUUUACUGUCAUGGGAGCUUGAGAUAGUGCUUAAUAUUAUACUCUGAUUCAUAGGUUUCGGAUUCGGGUUGCAUUUGUUGUUCAUUAUAUCUGCAAUUAUGGAUACUGUUUGAUGUGUCAUUGAAGUCAUUUUUGGGUAAAUUUAUACGCUCAUGAUUUGUUCCUAAAUAUAAUGACUACCAAUUUCAGUUCUUAUAAUUGGAUAGAUAUUUUUAAAUGG